UUGGUUAAGUUAGAAAGGGCACACGGUGGAUGCCUUGGCACUAGGAGCCGAAGAAGGACGGGACUAACACCGAUAUGCUUUGGGGAGCUGUACGUAAGCGUUGAUCCAGAGAUUUCCGAAUGGGGGAACCCACUAUCUUUAGUCGGAUAGUAUCCUUACGUGAAUACAUAGCGUGAGGAAGGCAGACCCAGGGAACUGAAACAUCUAAGUACCUGGAGGAAGAGAAAGAAAAAUCGAUUUCCUGAGUAGCGGCGAGCGAAACGGAAAGAGCCCAAACCAAGAAGCUUGCUUCUUGGGGUUGUAGGACACUCUAUACGGAGUUACAAAAGAAAGUUAUAAAUGAAGCGGUCUGGAAAGGCCCGCCAAAGACGGUAACAGCCCGGUAGUUGAAAUGGCUUUCCCUCCAGAGUGGAUCCUGAGUACGGCGGAACACGUGAAAUUCCGUCGGAAUCCGGGAGGACCAUCUCCCAAGGCUAAAUACUCCCUAGUGACCGAUAGUGAACCAGUACCGUGAGGGAAAGGUGAAAAGCACCCCGGAAGGGGAGUGAAACAGUUCCUGAAACCGUGUGCCUACAAGUAGUUAGAGCCCGUUAAUGGGUGAUAGCGUGCCUUUUGUAGAAUGAACCGGCGAGUUACGAUUUGUUGCAAGGUUAAGCGGAAAAAGCGGAGCCGUAGCGAAAGCGAGUCUGAAUAGGGCGCAUAAGUAACAGGUCGUAGACCCGAAACCAGGUGAUCUACCCAUGUCCAGGAUGAAGGUAAGGUAAUACUUACUGGAGGUCCGAACCCACGCACGUUGAAAAGUGCGGGGAUGAGGUGUGGGUAGCGGAGAAAUUCCAAUCGAACUUGGAGAUAGCUGGUUCUCUCCGAAAUAGCUUUAGGGCUAGCCUCGAGGUAAAGAGUCAUGGAGGUAGAGCACUGUUUGGACUAGGGGCCCUUCUCGGGUUACCGAAUUCAGAUAAACUCCGAAUGCCAUGUACUUAUACUCGGGAGUCAGACUGCGAGUGAUAAGAUCCGUAGUCGAAAGGGAAACAGCCCAGACCACCAGUUAAGGUCCCCAAAUAUAUGUUAAGUGGAAAAGGAUGUGGGGUUGCUUAGACAACCAGGAUGUUGGCUUAGAAGCAGCCACCAUUGAAAGAGUGCGUAAUAGCUCACUGGUCGAGUGACCCCGCGCCGAAAAUGUACCGGGGCUAAACAUAUUACCGAAACUGUGGAUGAACCUCUUUAGAGGUUCGUGGUAGGAGAGCGUUCUAAGGGCGGUGAAGUCAGACCGGAAGGACUGGUGGAGCGCUUAGAAGUGAGAAUGCCGGUAUGAGUAGCGAAAGAAGGGUGAGAAUCCCUUCCACCGAAUAUCUAAGGUUUCCUGAGGAAGGCUCGUCCGCUCAGGGUUAGUCGGGACCUAAGCCGAGGCCGAUAGGCGUAGGCGAUGGACAACAGGUAGAGAUUCCUGUACCAGUGCUAAUUGUUUAACCGAUGGGGUGACACAGAAGGAUAGGGAAUCGCACGAAUGGAAAUGUGCGUCCAAGCAGUGAGUGUGAG
RNAcentral lists this ribosomal RNA (1536 nucleotides) under Listeria monocytogenes. RNAcentral describes it as "partial 23S ribosomal RNA". It matches the Rfam family "Bacterial large subunit ribosomal RNA", at positions 1 to 1529 of the family's 2925-position model. Lineage: Bacteria; Bacillati; Bacillota; Bacilli; Caryophanales; Listeriaceae. The record is from RNAcentral.